RNAcentral lists this ribosomal RNA (434 nucleotides) under Pleosporales sp. E7004a. RNAcentral describes it as "eukaryotic LSU rRNA". The stretch from base 127 to 280 matches the Rfam family "5.8S ribosomal RNA". The record is from RNAcentral. Lineage: Eukaryota; Fungi; Ascomycota; Dothideomycetes; Pleosporales.
CCGCGAGAUAGCACCCUUUGCCUUUUAUGAGUACCUUUGUUUCCUCGGCAGGUGUGCCUGCCAGCGGGGACCUAUGUAAACUCUUUGUAAUAGCAUUACACGUCUGAUAACAUAACAAAUUAUCACAACUUUCAACAAUGGAUCUCUUGGUUCUGGCAUCGAUGAAGAACGCAGCGAAAUGCGAUAAGUAGUGUGAAUUGCAGAAUUCAGUGAAUCAUCGAAUCUUUGAACGCACAUUGCGCCCCUUGGUAUUCCAUGGGGCAUGCCUGUUCGAGCGUCAUUUCAAUCCUCAAGCUUAGCUUGGUGUUGGGUGUUUGUCCUGCCUGUUGUGCGUGGACUCGCCUUAAAAAUAUUGGCAGCCGAUCUCCUCAGCUCGAAGCGCAGCAGAUUUAGCGCGAUGAAGCUAGGCGUAACGGUACCCAGAAGCUUCUCCU